Non-coding RNA from Macaca mulatta (Rhesus monkey), 3561 nucleotides. NCBI's taxonomy places the organism in Eukaryota, Metazoa, Chordata, Mammalia, Primates, Cercopithecidae. The record is from RefSeq and is a predicted model, not a curated record.
UAAAAUCUAAAUUCACCAUAAUUUGCACCAUUUUUUCGGCUCACCGUUAAGGGGCAGUGCCGGUUCCCCUCUGGUCAUCCUGGGUUGCGUACGGGCCAUCUGUCUUUCACGACCAGGCUUCAUCUACACAGAGACGUGAGGGAAGUUUUGUAAUCCUAGUUUUUCAUUACCUUUUCCUGUUAUUCUUAGCCCGUCGUGUUCUAAAUAGCUUUCUCUGGUGAUCAGAGUAAAGAGAUUCCUCUGUCAUUCCGAGCACGUAAACACUGAAACAUUAGGGAAAGGGUGAGGUUUGUUUCCGAGUGUAUUUGCAUUCAGCUGGACUCUGUUUUCCUGCACCCAUAGGCCUGAUCCUAUCCUGUGGAGCCACCCAGAAAAGUUCUACACCUUCUGCUUCUCCAGAUACUUGCAGGUGGGCUUGUGAGCUCCCCCAAACCUUACUUUCUCCAGUACAAACUUCCUCAGCUUUUCUAGUGAGUGUUUGUAACAUAGUUGAGAGUCUCCUCACCAUUUUAGUCAUCCUUCUUUGAAUACAUUCCUGUUUAUUAAAACCUGGUGCCCAGAGAGGGAUAUCAUAUAUCAGGGUGGCUUCCUAGCCCACAGUAUUGCGGGAUUACCCGUUCCUUUUUUGCUCAGAAUUGUUCUUCUAUUAAUGCAUUUUAGGGUCACAUUAUUACUAUGAUUACUUUAUAGGCUACUACUCACUUAUUAAUAAGAUAUUUUUCAGAAAUUCCCAUACUCCAUACCAAAGGCACUUCCUUGGCAAAGUAUUUCUCUCUGUCUUGGUUUCGUCAUCUCCAAAUGGCAAUAAUUAUACUAUGAGCUCACAGGACUGUUGUGAUGAAUGAAUGAGAUACUCUGGUCAAGCUCAGCCUAAUAAAUAAUAAAGUCACUGUGACCGUCUCUACUUUCUGACUGUGAGUACUGCCACCAGUCCACCCCCACCUCUGCUUGUAGAAAUAAAAGGAGCAGAUUUAUGCGAGGGGAUGGGUCCACCUGGAGUGACUUGAGAAGAGCCCGUCCACCUCCUCCUGUUUAGAAGAUGCCUUUUGCUAUCCUGCUUUGAUGCCUGGAAUUUCAUCCUUCACCCAUUGCUGGGCCCACCCACAUACUCUAAAGCCAAGAUCAGGACAGAGAGGGAGGGAGCUGUCCCCUGGCCACCCUGAUACCUGUUGUCGGAAAUCAACGAACAAACACAAACCCACUUUGCGUUCCGUGAGUGUGCAUGGAUGUUGGUCCCUAGGCGCUGCAGGACAAGAGGAGGGCCAUUUCGAAGGCUCUGCCCGUGCGUGGGGAGCAUGCUGGAUCUUCCUUCCAGCUACAGAAGAGGUCAGCCCCCUGCCCCCGCUGGCCUGCUUGCUCGAACCUCUGAGAGACGCUGGGCAACAUGCUAUCCCUCCUAAUUGUCUGCCUCGGCAGACCAAGCCUUCCAGAUCAUCAGUCACCACGUGGCCCUUGUUCUGGGCAGCUCUGCACAUCAGCUCCUCCUUUACCCCUCCUCAGCCUCCAGACCCUUCCACUGCACUCUCCGGAACUCUUGUCUCCUAGAGCCUCCCCUCCUCUGAAGGGGCCUUCACCGUCUUUCACUGAAGCCUGCCUGUCCUCAAGGUCCCUGCUCCCUGCAACCACUCAGGUUGAGGCUGGUUUCUGUUGCCUACAGGCAGGUGUCAGGCAGGGCCAGAUGUGGAGGAGUUACUCAUUCCUCCCCCUCAGUCCUCAGACUCUGGUUUCUUCCCCCAGUGACUUCAGUCCCCAGCUGCUUUCUCCGUCCACUUUUACUCUCACUGGCGCUGACACCCACCUGGAGCACUCUGACGACAUCCUGGCUCCCCAACUUCCUCAGACUCUUGCCCUCAUUUGAUUUCAGCCACCUCUGAGAUCUCAACAUUUGCUUUUAUUUAAAAAAUGUUUUAAGUUUACGUAUGUAAAAUUCUUUUUCUGAUGUACAGGGCUUUGGUUUUUUAGACGUGCAUGGGUUCUCAUAGCCACCACCACAGACAGUACAUGCAACAGUUCCAGUACUCCAGAGAACGCCCUCAUCUCUCCUCACCCCUGCCUUCUGGCAAGCAAUGAGCUGUUCUCUGUUCCUGCAUUUUUGCCUUUUCUAGGAUGCCAUAUAUGUGGAAUUAUGUAGAAUGUGCCCUUUUGGUACUGGCCUCUUUUGUUCAACAGAGUAAUACCUUUGAGAUUCAUCCACGCUGUUGUUAGAAUCAAGCGUGUUAACUUUUAUUGCUGAGUAGUAGUCCAUUGUGUAGAUACAUUACAGUUUUUUAAAAAAAAUCUACCGCUGCUGCAGGACAUUUGGGUGUUUUCAGUUCUUGGUGAGGAGGAACAUUUGUGUGCAGAUGUUGUGUGGACUUAAAAUCUUGACUUCUUUAAAAUACCUAGAAGUGGUCAUUGCUGGGUCCUAUGUAUGUGAGAUCUCAAUUGUAAGUUUCCUCUCCUCUGACAACUGUGCCCCAUCCACAUGGUUCCUUUCUCUAACAUAUCACAUUGACCACUGUGACCUCACUAAGACCUCCAAUUCACCGAGCCUGCCAUUUUUUUCAUUGAUCAUGAACCUAUUCAUUAUUUUCGUUCCUUCUCACACAACUUAGUGAUCCAUCAUAAUAGUCAUUCUACUGGAAACUUUCCUCACUCCCUUCAACAUACCCUCCUGGCUGAACCACAACCUGGUGAACUCAACUACCCACCCAUUCAGCCUCCAUUAGAGUAGAACAGUGUGGCUAGAAGAAAACGCAGCUGUGCCGCAGGCGACUUCAUGACCGUAAAUCUCACCUGAGCUUCUGAUACUGAUCAUCGAUCGGUCUGACUUUCUAGGGACUAUUUCAUACUUGUAUCUCUUCAAACCUCUGACAGCCUCAUAUAUCACUGAGGAACUAGCGAUCAGACUAGAGAUUGCUCAUUAUCCUCCCACCAUCAAUUCCACCUGACGGACUAAGGCUUUACUCCCUUCUCUGCCUUCCCCCUUUUAAAACGAUGAGCUGUCCAUGCUUCUGUCUGAAGCCAGCCCCUCGAUGGUGCAGUGGAUUCCAUCUGUGCCCAUCCUACCUUUUCCAUUUUCCUUCUGCAAUUAUCCCCUCUCCUGUCUUCAUCAACUUCUCUUUCUGCCAUCACCAUAUAUACAUUUCCUAAUGUAGCGCAUCUUCAAAAAUAAUGUCCCUCCUGGCCUCCUAAAACCAGUAACUUUACAGUGGAGAAACCUGACAAACACCUCAGCCAGGUGAUCAACGCGACGAGUCGUGAUGGCGGAACGUACCCUUGCUGUGAUGUGAGGAGAUGAUAAUGGCACUGUACCUCUGUGGUCUUCCUUUCCAAAACCCACAACCUCUGUCCAACCAGAAAAACACCAGACAAAUCCAAAUGGAAGGAUGUUCUACAAGAUACUUAACUAGCACUCCUCAAAAUUGUCAAGGCCAUCAAAAGCAGGGAAAACCUAAGAGAAGCCUAAGGAGACAUGACAAGUAAAUGUAAUGUGGUAUUCUGAAUAGGACCCUAGAAAAGAAAAAGAAAGAUAUUAAGUAAAACUAAAAACUGGAAUAAAGUACGGGCUUUAGAUCAUAA